GGGGCAAUGGCGCAUCUGGGAGCGCGUCAGACUGAAGUAAACUUCGGCCAUAGGUUUCAUCCUUCGGGAUGUCCCUGUAAAUCUGAAGGUGGCCGGUUCAAGCCCGGCUUGCCCCA
This 116-nucleotide transfer RNA is filed under the name Aspergillus heteromorphus CBS 117.55. It matches the Rfam family "tRNA". Rfam says of the family: Transfer RNA (tRNA) molecules are approximately 80 nucleotides in length. Their secondary structure includes four short double-helical elements and three loops (D, anti-codon, and T loops). The record is from Rfam by way of RNAcentral. Lineage: Eukaryota; Fungi; Ascomycota; Eurotiomycetes; Eurotiales; Aspergillaceae.